CAGAGUGCAUUGUUUGCUAGUGACAUGCAAGAGCCUGCUGCAUCAUUUGAGAGCACCUCCUCAUUUGCUGCUAUCCCUUUGCAGCCAGUGCCUCGUGGCUCUGGACCUCUGAAUGGAUUUAUGUCUGGGCCCCUUGAAAGAGGUUUUGCUUCUGGUCCUUUGGACAGGGGCAGUGGUUUUAUAUCUGGACCAAUUGAGAAGGGGGUAAUGUCCGGUCCUCUUGAUGCUGCUGACAAAUCCAACUUUUCUGCUCCCCUUGCACGUGGUCAUAGAAAACCCCGCUUUCAGCGCCUAGUGAGAAGGGUGAGUGGACCAAUGAAAAAUACACUAUCUCGGACAUUCUCAAAACAUUCAAUUGGGGCAGGUUGGAUGCAGAGGUUUUUCUUGCAUCCAG
RNAcentral lists this unclassified non-coding RNA (394 nucleotides) under Hevea brasiliensis (rubber tree). The record is from RNAcentral. Lineage: Eukaryota; Viridiplantae; Streptophyta; Magnoliopsida; Malpighiales; Euphorbiaceae.